RNAcentral lists this ribosomal RNA (253 nucleotides) under uncultured bacterium. RNAcentral describes it as "partial 16S ribosomal RNA". It matches the Rfam family "Bacterial small subunit ribosomal RNA", at positions 524 to 776 of the family's 1533-position model. The record is from RNAcentral.
UACGAACUGUGCGAACGUUAUUCGGAAUCACUGGGCUUACAGGGUGCGUAGGCGGCCCGACAAGUCAGGUGUGAAAGCCCUCGGCUCAACCGAGGAACUGCGCUUGAAACUGUUGGGCUCGAGUCAGCUAGAGGUGCACGGAACUUCCAGUGGAGCGGUGAAAUGUGUUGAUAUUGGAAGGAACACCGGAGGCGAAAGCGGUGCACUGGGGCUGGUCUGACGCUGAGGCACGAAAGCCAGGGGAGCGAACGGG